CGAGUCUGAUGGAGCACGCCGCGUGAGUGAAGAAGGGUUUCGGCUCGUAAAACUCUGUUGUUAAAGAAGAACAUAUCUGAGAGUAACUGUUCAGGUAUUGACGGUAUUUAACCAGAAAGCCACGGCUAACUACGUGCCAGCAGCCGCGGUAAUACGUAGGUGGCAAGCGUUGUCCGGAUUUAUUGGGCGUAAAGCGAGCGCAGGCGGUUUUUUAAGUCUGAUGUGAAAGCCUUCGGCUCAACCGAAGAAGUGCAUCGGAAACUGGGAAACUUGAGUGCAGAAGAGGACAGUGGAACUCCAUGUGUAGCGGUGAAAUGCGUAGAUAUAUGGAAGAACACCAGUGGCGAAGGCGGCUGUCUGGUCUGUAACUGACGCUGAGGCUCGAAAGUAUGGGUAGCAAACAGGAUUAGAUACCCCCGGGGUAGUC
RNAcentral lists this ribosomal RNA (427 nucleotides) under Lactiplantibacillus plantarum. Its description in RNAcentral is "bacterial SSU rRNA". It matches the Rfam family "Bacterial small subunit ribosomal RNA", at positions 378 to 795 of the family's 1533-position model. Lineage: Bacteria; Bacillati; Bacillota; Bacilli; Lactobacillales; Lactobacillaceae. The record is from RNAcentral.